This 497-nucleotide ribosomal RNA is filed under the name uncultured bacterium. RNAcentral's name for it is "partial 16S ribosomal RNA". It matches the Rfam family "Bacterial small subunit ribosomal RNA", at positions 28 to 507 of the family's 1533-position model. The record is from RNAcentral.
GACGAACGCUGGCGGCGUGCCUAAUACAUGCCAGUCGAGCGCUGAAGGUUGGUACUUGUACCAACUGGAUGAGCAGCGAACGGGUGAGUAACGCGUGGGGAAUCUGCUUUUGAGCGGGGGACAAUAUUUGGAAACGAAUGCUAAUACCGCAUAAAAACUUUAAACACAAGUUUUAAGUUUGAAAGAUGCAAUUGCAUCACUCAAAGAUGAUCCCGCGUUGUAUUAGCUAGUUGGUGAGGUAAAGGCUCACCAAGGCGAUGAUACAUAGCCGAGCUGAGAGGGUGAUCGGCCACAUUGGGACUGGGACACGGCCCAAGCUCCUACGGGAGGCAGCCGUAGGGAAUCUUCGGCCAUGGACGGAAGUCUGAACGAGCAACGCCGCGUGAGUGAAGAAGGUUUUCGGGUCGUAAAACUCUGUUGGUAGGGAAGAACGUUGGUGAGGGUGGAAAGCUCAUCAAGUGACGGUAACUACCCAGAAAGGGACGGCUAACUACGUG